RNAcentral lists this long non-coding RNA (468 nucleotides) under Ananas comosus (pineapple). RNAcentral's name for it is "long non-coding RNA (ACOM_LNC002314)". The record is from RNAcentral. Lineage: Eukaryota; Viridiplantae; Streptophyta; Magnoliopsida; Poales; Bromeliaceae.
GUACCGGUGAUUUAACCAUCGAAGAGGUGAAAUGGUCCGAUUUUAAUCAAAGCGAUCGAAUUUUCUUAUCAAAUCAUAUUGAAAUCCAACGAUUUAAAAUCAAUUUAACUGAUUUGAUUUUCUAUUAACACAUAUUCAUGUAAUAAAAAAAUAAAACUUAAAAACAUUAUAGUUACUUAAUUUGGUUUAAAAAUCAGUAUUUUUAUUAUUAAGUAUAAUGUUAAAAUGAUAAUAUAUAUUCUCUGUAGACUAAAUUUAUGACAUUAUGUUAUUGUCACUGGUUCAACUAGUUAUUGACAUAUUGGUGAAUCAGUGACUCUUGAACCAGUAAUAUUUUUGAAUCGUUAUUUGACUCGAUUUUUAAAACAUAUUCGCUUCUCUCGCUAGUCCUCUCUCCAUAUUAUUUUGUACUGUAUUAUCACCACAAAAAAAUAACUAAUGCAUAAAGGGCAUUGUUGUAAUUUUACU